GUCAGGUGUGGUAGUGCACCCCUGUAAUCCCAGCAACUUGGGAGACUGAGGCAAGAGGAUUGCAAGUUUGAGGUCAGCCCCAGCAACUUAGUAAGACCCUGUUUCAA
This 107-nucleotide small RNA is filed under the name Marmota monax (woodchuck). Lineage: Eukaryota; Metazoa; Chordata; Mammalia; Rodentia; Sciuridae. The record is from RNAcentral.